This is a long non-coding RNA of Mus musculus (house mouse), 425 nucleotides long. RefSeq annotates it as predicted gene, 52065. NCBI's taxonomy places the organism in Eukaryota, Metazoa, Chordata, Mammalia, Rodentia, Muridae. The record is from RefSeq and is a predicted model, not a curated record. The transcript has 3 exons.
UGCAAGUAACCCUGGUAGCUGCGUGGAGAUGGAAUUCUUUAGACCAAACUGCAUGUUGCACAGAAAGGGGGCAGGGGGAUGACACACAGAUGCAAAGAGGAAUGCAUUUGAGUCCUCCACAGGGCCAAUAUGUCUUCGCUUCCCAAGUUUUUAGUAAAUGGCUACAAGCUGUGCUCGCCUCUUCAACGCUUCUAUCAACCGCAGGACCUGGGCCUGGAACAGCCUUCAGCUCCAGCUCCAGCUCCAGCUUCCCUGUUGCUUUUGGCAGUGAUAUCAACGACAGUGAUAGAAAGCAAACUGGGAGAGCUAGCUACUGAACAGUGGCUCAACCAAACAGCUGAAAUCCCCGGACUCUUCCAUUCUCAAGAGAAGCAAACAGAUUCGACAAGAACAAAUGCAUGAUGGCACUCACCUUUAAUCCCAGC